AUUUCUUUCUGGAGUUCCCUUUGAGGAGUUUUCUUCUGUGAGCCUAGAUCUUUGGAAAUUGGGCAUCUUUUCACCCAGGCUGGCUGGUGACUGCUGAGCAACAGCUGAGAGAAAACAGUGAUAACUACCAUAUGAACAUUCACAUCUCAAGCCUUAUGCUGAUGGUAGGGGAACGGCUGGAGACCAAAGAGGAAGUUAGAUUCUUCUAGGAAAUGUGAAUGAGCCCAGUGAGAUGUGCCCAAAGUCUCCCAAGAGUCUCUGGCAGAACUGGAAAGAGAAUUGAAAUUUCCUGUUGCUUUCUGGUGACUUGGAGAGGGAAGGUCACACAUGCUCCAUGGUCCACACCUGCUCAUAGAUGCGUGAAGUUUGUCCUCGUGCUGGGCAGAGACUGAUGGGAGACUGUUCAGGGCAUUUUAGUUUUUUGACACUUAAUUUUGUCUUAACGGGGAUAAAGAUUCAUAUGUUGUGGCGUUUUCCUGCUGAAAAUUGAUGCAUAUAAGUACUGUUUCUCAGCAUGUGUCUUGUCGUGGACAAGGCAUGGUAGGGUUAAACAAUUCUUGGUUUUGGGUCCUGUCUCAGACAUUUGUGUGUGUGUGUGUGUGUUGUGUGUGUGUUUGGCUUUUGAUUAUUUACAAGGAAAUGCUGGAUUUCAUACAUUAAUUUCAUCAUUAAUGAAAUUUUAAUCGGAAAGUUCAAGAAGUACAGUCAAAUGAAUAUAUGUGACUUACAAUAGUAUGGGAAUCAUAGAAUCAUAAAAUUUCCCUAGUGGGAAGGGACCCAUAAGGAUCAUAGUGUUCAUCUUCUGGGUACACAGGAUCACCCAAAAUAAGAUCAUAUGACCAAGAGCAUUGUCUAGAUGCAUCUUGAAUUCCUGUAGAUCAGUGCAGUUGCUGCUGCCUUGGGAGCCUCUUCCAGUUCCUGACCACCCUCUCAGUGAAGAGAUGAUAUCCAACUUGACCCUCUCCUGACGCAGCUUCUUAUAAUUCCCUCAGGUCCUGUUGCUGUCAUCAGAGAAGAGAUCAGUGCUGCCACUCAACCUUAUAGGGAAGCCUUUUGUACUGUGGCCCAAAUACAUGCACAGUACUUGAGAUGAGGCUGCACCAGUGCAGCAUAGAGCAGGAAUAUUAAAUGAAAAUAUAUACAUAUAUUUCACAGCAAUAAUUUUUAUAGGAUAACUGUUUUAAUAAUAAUAUUAAUUACUUAAAAUAGCUUGCUUGCUUACUGGCGUUCUUUCUAGUUUACACUGUUAAUUACUCUAGGGGGUGAAAUUCAGAAAUCCACAUUAGGUAUUAAUACAGUCUUAAUCAAAAUAUAAUUUCCAAUAGCUUCAGUAGGACAUUUACCUAAACCUAUUUCUGAGUAAGUACUUCAGAAUCUGGACCCUAGUGGUAAUAUGUAAUCUGCAUUUUAAAAGUAUUACUCUGAGUACACAGUGAAAUAUAAAAUUCUGCAGUUGAAGCCUAUUCACAGCAUCCUAGGUUUUAGAUUAUUAAUUUUUAUUUAUUUGUUAUCCUCUACUUUCCCUAAAAAUUUUUUUGCUUCUUAAAUAUUGUGAAAGAAAUUAUUGUUGUUGGUACGGGCUUGUAGUGCUCUUCAGCUAAGGAAGCAGAGUUCCUAAGCACGCUUACUGUGGUCUGGUUAGUUUGCUGACCAGUCCCCUUCUUAUGCUGUAUAGCCUUCACUAGCCCCAGGUAGGUGGAGCAAUCAUCCAAGAAUAAGGGCUCAUUGUUGGGAAUUAAUAAAGAAUCAGGGCUCUUGAGUUCAAGUGAGGUAAAGACUGUAUUUUUACUGAAUGUAGAUUUUUAACUGAGAUACUUGAAUAGUUAAAUUUGGCAAAUAGUUUGAUUUGGCAAUAUAAUACGUUUCUUAUGCCUUCUGUUUUCAGGCAGCAGUGAUUUGAAUUGUAUAUAAUUCUGUAAGUAAAUUUCUUUGAAUUUGCACAAUUUCACGUAUCCUCACAGUAAUUUUAUCAUAGUAGUGUAGAAAAUCAUGAUAUCCAGUGGAUACCUUUCUUUUCCUUUCUCUUUUAGGACAAUUGCCUCUAAGGCCUAAGCUUGGGGUAGAGAAAUAUUAAAAAAUACCGAGUUUGUAGACGUUGCCGUUUGACGUCCUAUGUAGUACAUUGUUUUUCCUUUGUGAAAAUUUUUAAAUAUUUCAAUGUUGGACUAAGGAAAUAAUGCAGAGUAUAUUAAGAAAAACAUAACAAACAACAGCAAAACAACAUUUUGAGAUUACCACAAAAUUCUACAUUUGAUCAAAUUUUCCGCAAGGAAUAACUAAUGAAUACAGUAAUGCUUUCAUCUUCCUAUGUACAAUCUGGAUGGAGAUUAUAGAAUACUUUAAGUGCUGAAUUAUAUAUUGAUAUGAGUUGGAAUUGGUAGUAAAAUAGUGCAGUAAUAAAUGUUAUAGGUGUUUGGCAUUUAGAAACAAAUGUGUAUACCUUUUUUUAUUAAGCAUGAACAUCACUUGAUAUGUUUUCUGUUUUCUAUGAGCUUAACUUAGCGUAUUUUUUCAUCAAAUCUUAUUCUCACAAAUUCAGAAUUCCAGUUCCUAAAAACUUGGGUUGCAAUUAGUUCAAACUUUUGUCUGGAGAAAUAAGUCCUGCAAAAACUUAUGCCAUAAAGAAUGAAUGGUAGUAUAAGGAUAGAAUGGUGGGUUGAACACACGUCCUGUGGAUAUUUACUUAAAUAUUUGGAUUUUUCUUAAGAACUUGAGUCUGAACAUGUUGCUGGAAAUGCCAAACUUGAAAGUGAAAGUGAUGUAUUAUUCAGGGAACAAUACUGUACUAAAUCAGUCUAGCACUCAGGUUGACUAACAGGUAAGGAAAUUGAGUUUGAUCAUUUGAAAUCAGUGAGAUGUACUGCUGAGUUAGAUCAGAAAAAACAUGGACUUUGCUCCCUGGCCAACAUUUUCCAUAAUAUUUCAAGAUUUCAUAGGAUGCCCUGCUGAGACUCGACUUCUAUAGUCAUGUAAGAAAUAUGUGAAUAUGUGAGAUAAUGAAAAUAAUACAAAUAGAAAUAGUAACUGAACAAAAAAUUCAACAAUGAGAGUAGUCUCUAUGGGGAAUAGGGAAAAUGCCAGCACUUACUGCCAAUGAUGAUGGUUCAUCUUUUUGUGCUCUUUGUAGAUCUUUUAUCCCCUUGGUUUUAAGUGAUAUCACUAGCACGAUAUAUUACCACCCUCUAAAUGUUAGGGAAGUGUAAUAAAAACAAAAAAAAAUCUUGCCUUUUCUAUACUGCUUCUAACCAAGUUAAAUUGAAACUGUUCAUUUUCAACACAAAAAUUAGGAGCAAUACAUUUUUUAGAUAAAAAGUUUCAAAAAAUUAGUUGUUAAAUUGAAUUCUCUCUUUACCAGAAUUUGACAAAAAAGCUGAUAAAUUCAUAAAUUUGCUUAUUGGCAUUGUAGGGUACCCUUCAUAAUCAGCAGUCGCUGUCUCUUGUGACAUGAGGUCUCUCCUUCCUAAGACCCUUCUUGUCUUAUACUGAAACCAAUUUAAAAAAUCUUUAACAGAUAAAAGUGAAGUGCAAGUAUUGGAAUGUGACCAGUCAUUUUUCAUUAGCUACCUCUGCUAUAUGGAACAGCAUUGUGUGAUGACCAAAAACAGACUCAAGCCUCUCAUGUACAUAUUAUAGAAUCAAACAAGUUGUUAAGCUAAGGGAUAAUGUAAUCCAAAGUGAGGAGAUCUAUAAUGAAUUCUGAAAAACAUGUUUCUAUGCUUUUUUUUUUUUUGUUUAUGGCCUGGGGAUAUUUUCAAAUUCCUUCCUGCAGUGUAUCAAGUCACAGUAUGGGGUAACCGAACAUCUACUUUCCAUGAAAUAUUUUGCCAAAUUUCAAACUUUCAUCUUCAGAUUCAGUGUGCUUUUGUGUUUUGAUAUGCUUCCUUUCAAAGGCUCAAACAUUUUGCUAACAUGUCAAGCUGCAAGAAGAUUUAAUCAUGUAAAUGAUGAAAUUCAGAGUUGCAAAUGAUUUUGUCUAGCAAUACAUUUCUCAACUGUGCAAAUUCUGAUGAUAGGAAUUUUUAAAAUUACACUCUUAUUUCAGAGCAGUGAGAAGUAACUCAUAUAGGCUGUAAUUACAACAAUUUUUUUUCUCCUCGCUGUUUAUAGACUACAGAGAGAUUGGAUUACGAUGUCUCUGAUGUCUUUUAUGUGCAUUAGGAGUGGAAAAGGGUCAAAUAUAUCCAAUAAUAUUUCCUAUGUAGAAAGAAGGUACCACAGAGUGAAAUGCAAAUGAAUGCUACCAAAAGCUUUUUCCUCCUGACUCAUGACCUCAGCAUUUAAUUGCCUUUAUCCCUGGACUAGUAGUUUACAGUAAGUGUCAAAAUGACCUGAUAUGUUGCUGGUAGUAUGAAAUAAGAUCAGUUGAUAAUGAAAAUUACUGCUUGUCUAAGAGGUUUCUUGUUCCGAAUGUCUCAAUAAUUUCUCUCAGUGGAAGUGAGUUUUGUCAGCAGACAAACAGCUUAGUGCAUAUAGAUGUGUAACGGAUCUUAGAAAGAGAUGUGGCUGUUCCAGUGCAGUAGUGUCAUUUUCAGGUCUUUAUUAUUUAGUUUGGUUACUCUGAAAUCUCAUCUGAUGAAACAAAUUCCAAAAUCUUUGUCAUUUUUGGGAUUAUUUUUGCUGAUUGUAAUAGCCAAUAAAUGUUAAUAAUAACAGUAAAGGCACUGACAGAAGAAUAUAUGAUCUGCGAAGAUUUGAAAGGAAACCCAGAUAUUAAUUAAAAAUUAUAAGGCAUUUCAUCAUUGUUCUUUCUUUCUGCAAUAUUUUGUAAUUUUGUAAAUUUUUUGCUGAUAGAUUAAAACUUAAAAUUUCCUAUGCAACACCUGGUUAAAUCUUGUUUACUACCAGUUCAAUUUUUCUUUUAUUCAAAUUUUUGUUUUUGUGUUCUGCCUGAUAAAAGAUUACCAUUCAUUUUCAUUAGGUUAAAAUAUGUACAGGGAGAGAUCCCAGGAUUGGAUUGAUGUAUUUCACUUCAGUUUCAUGUGUUACAGAAGCCUUAUACUUUCUUCCCCUGUACUACCUGCCAUGUUAUCAAACUAAAACUUUUAACCUUGGCAAAGACAUGGGAUUUUUACAUAGAAUAAUCAGUAAUUUAUACAAUGAAUUACAGAAAAUAUUAAAUCUGAUUUCUAUUCUUUUCCCCCAUUAAUUAGCAUUUAAUAAA
Long non-coding RNA from Lagopus muta (rock ptarmigan), 5161 nucleotides. RefSeq lists it as uncharacterized. The transcript is spliced from 3 exons. NCBI's taxonomy places the organism in Eukaryota, Metazoa, Chordata, Aves, Galliformes, Phasianidae. The record is from RefSeq and is a predicted model, not a curated record.